GGCGAUACUGGGGUGAUACUGGGGUGAUAUUGAGGUGAUACUGGGGUGAUAUUGCGGCGAUACUGGGGUGAUAUUGAGGCGAUAUUGAGGAGAUACUGGGGUGAUAUUGAAGUGAUACUGGGGUGAUAUUGAGGCGAUACUGGGGUGAUAUUGAGGCGAUUCUGGGGUGAUUCUGAGGCAAUAUUGAGGUGAUACUGGGGUGAUAUUGAGGCGAUACUGGGGUAAUAUUGAGGCGAUACUGGAAUGAUAUUGAGGUGAUACUGGGGUGAUAUUGAGGUGAUACUGGGGAGAUAUUGAGGUGAUACUGGAAUGAUAUUGAGGUGUUACUGGGGUGAUAUUGAGGUGAUACUGGGGUGAUAUUGAGGUGAUACUGGUGUGAUAUUGAGGUGAUACUGGGGUGAUAUUGAGGUGAUACUGGAAUGAUAUUGAGGUGAUACUGGGGUGAUAUUGAGGUGAUACU
This 460-nucleotide long non-coding RNA is filed under the name Salmo salar (Atlantic salmon). RNAcentral describes it as "lncRNA (ENSSSAG00000113223.1)". Lineage: Eukaryota; Metazoa; Chordata; Actinopteri; Salmoniformes; Salmonidae. The record is from RNAcentral.